This 5983-nucleotide long non-coding RNA is filed under the name Brassica napus (rape). Its description in RNAcentral is "long non-coding RNA (BNAP_LNC008784)". Lineage: Eukaryota; Viridiplantae; Streptophyta; Magnoliopsida; Brassicales; Brassicaceae. The record is from RNAcentral.
GGAGACCGACGCUCGCGAUUGUCUGGAUACGUGGCAGACCGAGGAUAUCUUCGCAGUCGUAGCUACGCAUGUAGAGGAGCCACACAGCGUAGCCGAGGAGUGUAAGAGAUAGAAAGAAGGUGCAGAUGGGAAGUACCCCGAUGGCGAAAAGGUUCAUGAUUGUGACCAAUGUUCCAGCGGGUGGCUUAUCGCUUUGUGACUCCAUCUGGUCGGAGCUUUUUGCUUCUGGCUCACUCGUUGUUGUUAUUGCGGUUGCCGUGGCGGUGGUGGUUGCAGCUGGUUCCUCAACGGGUACUACUUGGGCACUAUCAGCCAUGGAGAAAGUGAAAGAAAUGUCUCUAUGGAGGUGUUUUGUUUGACAUUAGGAAUGUAUAAAAGAGAAAGAUCAUAAGUAUAGGUGUAUCAGGGGUGGGUUUUACAGAGUCAAAUGUAAGUUGGAGAGAAAUCCGGACACUUUGAUUAAGUACAAGCUGAUCCUGACCGAAUAUUUUGCUAUAUUCAAGCCCUUUUUGGUCUUUUUAGUCGGUAUGGAUUUAUCCCCUGUUCUAAAAAUCGGUCCGAUUCAUGCCAAAUCGGUGAAAAAAAAAAUCAUGCCAUAUCCGAUUUUUUUCCGCCUAGACCGCCUAAAUGACCGCCUAGCCGCCUAAAUGACCGCCUAGCCGCCUAGGCGGCCGCCUAAUCAAUUUUUUUUGGCCAUCCUAGUUUAAAUGCUUAUAUAAAUAACCAGAGCUCGAUGCUCUCAAUAAUGUCACAUAACACACAACUUUCAACCCAAAAAAAAAAAUCUCCAUACCUUUUCUUGAGAUUAGAGAGAACCCUAUCGUUAGAUCUCUCCAUCUCUCUCUCUUUGUUUUGACUUCCACAAACAGAGCAACAUCUUUCUCUUAGUAUUGCUUGAAACUGGAGCAAUCUUUAAGGUUAUAUAGACCAAUAAGAGUGAGAGAAGAUCUAGUCAUAAACAAAUCAAGAAAUUUCUAACUUCGAGGAGGUAACGAAAAGGGUUUAAGAGAAUAAGAAUGGUAGCUUUUUCAGCUUGGCCUUGGGGAAACUUUGGCAAUCUAAAGGUUUGAUCUGACUUCUCAAAAGGUCUGGUUUCUCGUGUGAAUCUCAUAUGUGUUUUUCUUGUCUGUGUAGUAUCUUCUCUACGCUCCGUUAGCUGCACAAGUAGUGUACUCAUGGGCGUACGAACAAGACUACUCGAGGGCUCUUUGGUGUCUUCAUAUCCUCAUCAUCUGUGGACUCAAAGGAUUCCUUCAUGUUCUUUGGAGCGUUUACAACAACAUGCUUUGGGCGUCUCGCACUCUAAGGAUUAACCCUAAUGGCGUCGACUUUAAGCAGAUUGAUCACGAAUGGCACUGGUAAAUCCCUCUCAAGUAACAUUUUGGGUACAUAUUAUAAUAAUAAUAAUAACUUGUCCUAAAAUCAAUAUUUUUAAGAUGUUACUCUGUUCUUGCUAUGGUCUUAAAUACCCAUAAAACCACCAAAGGUAUCGUUUUGAUCUGUGGGUUUUAUUUCAGGGACAACUACAUACUUCUGCAAGCAAUAAUAGCUAGCAUUAUCUGUUACAUGUCUCUUCCAUUGAUGACGAUUAACAGUAUACCUCUGUGGAACACGAAAGGACUCGUUGCAUUAAUUGUGCUACAUGUGACCUUCUCAGAGCCAUUAUACUACUUUCUUCACAGAACUUUUCAUAGUAACACCUACCUCUUCACGCAUUACCACUCCUUCCAUCACUCAUCUCCUGUGCCACAUCCCAUGACUUGUACAUUUUCAUCACUAAUAACCUUAUUCAAAAAUUCAUUCUUGUUUGUUGUAAUAUAACAAUAUUUUAUCUAUUGGGUGCAGCUGGAAAUGCGACGUUACUGGAAAGCCUUAUCCUCUGCGUCGUAGCUGGAGUUCCUUUGGUUGGAUCUUGCUUGCUAGGUGUUGGAUCAUUAGGGUUGAUCUACGGAUAUGCUAUUAUGUUUGAUUUCCUAAGAUGUUUAGGACAUUGUAACGUUGAAAUCUUCUCUCACAAGCUAUUCGAGACACUUCCAAUCCUUCGAUAUCUCAUCUACACUCCAACGUAUGCCGUUGACACUUUUAUUACCCUUUCGGCAAAGUAUUCACAUGUCAUUUUUCUUUUUGGAUUUGGUUAGGACACAUAAACAUGACUUAAUUUUGUCUUCUUUUUUUUUUUUACUUUAAGAAGCAAAAUUGCCAAGAUUGUAUUAGCUAUGAAAUAUGCCUAUCGAAAGUAAUUGGUGGUGUUACAUUUUUAGUUGCAUCACAAUGAUUUUACAGUGUAAUGAUUUAAAAAAUAUCUUUAAAAAGUUGAUUUUCUUGGUGGGGUUUAUGCAGGUACCAUAGUCUGCAUCAUCAUGAGAUGGGGACCAACUUUUGUCUAUUCAUGCCUAUCUUUGAUGUCUUGGGCAACACACUUAACUCAAACUCGUGGGGACUCCAAAAGAAGAUUCGCUUGUCUGCAGGUAAAUAUAGCAAACCUACUCCACGCAGUUUUUGUUUUUGUUUUUGUUUUUGUUUUGCAUAUCUAGCCCAAAGCCUGAACACACGAAUCUGUUACUAGACUAGUUGAAUGAAUGAAUACCAAACAGUUUAAUGGCAAUUUAUGAGGGACAUUAGUAGAAAUAGAGUUUGUACUUUGUGCAACCAAAGUGGGUGAGAAUUUUCUAUUUCUGGUCAAAGUCAAACCUCUUGAGCCAAAAGACAUUGUUACCCCUUCUUUAACCUGAAAACUACAGUUUUGUUUUAACUAACUUUGAUGUCCGUGUGUAGGGGAACGGAAGAGAGUGCCGGAGUUUGUGUUCUUGGCUCACGGGGUAGAUGUGAUGUCGGCGAUGCAUGCUCCGUUUGUGUUCAGAUCGUUUGCUUCAAUGCCAUACACAACGAGGCUCUUCUUGCUGCCCAUGUGGCCAUUCACGUUCAUGGUGAUGUUGGGCAUGUGGGUCUGGUCAAAGACUUUUCUUUUCAGCUUCUAUACCCUCAGGAACAAUCUUUGCCAGACUUGGGGAGUUCCAAGAUUCGGGUUCCAAGUAAAUGCCUCUGCUUUUUUUUCAGUUUUACCCUCUAAAAACAGACAGAACAGAGUGUUUUUACAGAGCAUUUUCCUCUGUUUUUGCAGUACUUUUUACCGAUUGCUAAACAAGGAAUUAACAACCAGAUCGAGAAUGCGAUUCUUAGGGCUGAUAAGAUUGGUGUUAAAGUUAUAAGCUUGGCUGCUUUGAACAAGGUUUGUGUCGGAACCGAAGUCUCAAAAAAAAAGUCUGAAACUUUUGAGUCAAGUCACUAAAAGGGUUGGUUUUGUUUGAGUGUUUGCUCAGAACGAAGCUCUAAAUGGUGGUGGGACGUUGUUUGUCAACAAGCAUCCUGACCUUAGAGUUCGUGUGGUCCACGGGAACACAUUAACCGCAGCAGUGAUUCUUAAUGAGAUUCCAAAAGAUGUGAAAGAGGUGUUCUUGACAGGAGCCACUUCUAAGCUGGGAAGAGCCAUCGCUCUCUACCUCUGUCGUCAGGGAGUGAGAGUUCUCGUAAGUUUUUUUUACUAAUGUCUCGAAUGUACGGUUUAAUAUAGUAUCCCAAAGUCUGACAUAUGUUGGAACCAAUUGACAGAUGUUGACACUAUCGGUGGAAAGAUUCCAAAAGAUUCAGAAAGAAGCUCCUGUUGAGUUCCAGAACUACCUUGUACAAGUGACCAAAUACAACGCUGCUCAAAACUGCAAGGUAGUGUAUUUGAGUUCUAACUGGUUUUCAUUUGUUGUGUAAAUGUAAAUGUAUUGACUUUGGGGUGUUUGAAUUAUGUAUAAUGCAGACUUGGAUCGUUGGGAAAUGGUUAACGCCAAGGGAGCAGAGCUGGGCUCCUAAAGGAACGCAUUUCCACCAGUUUGUGGUGCCACCAAUCCUCAACUUCAGGAGGAACUGCACUUACGGGGAUCUAGCUGCAAUGAGGCUCCCUGAAGAUGUUCAAGGGCUAGGAACCUGCGAGGUUUAAAGAAUGUUUGGUUUACAAUAGUCUUGAUUGUCUCUUUAGCCCUUUGGUACACCUGACUAAAACUUUAUGUGUGUAUGUUGUGGCAGUACACAAUGGACAGAGGGGUGGUGCAUGCAUGCCAUGCAGGAGGAGUGGUUCAUAUGCUGGAAGGUUGGGAGCAUCAUGAGGUCGGAGCCAUUGACGUUGACCGUAUUGAUUUGGUGUGGGAAGCAGCCAUGAGACACGGCCUUCGCUCUGUUUCUUCACUCACAAGAUGAGUGAGAUGUGCUCUUAAAUUGUUAUCUUUGACUCUCCCAAGAUUGGUCAUUCUUUGUAAAGGUGAAGCAUGCAAGCAGGUUGAAAAAAAUAAGUAGAAUUUUCACCGUAUGUUAUUGUUUCACCUUUUAUUUAAGAUGUAUUUCACUUUAUAACAAUUUCCCUAAAUAGUAUCGACAAAGCUUUUAAUUAUCCAGCCUGAUCACUCCUCUGGUGGUACUUGGUAGUUAGGACAAUGAAAGAACAAAGUGUCUUCAAUGUUCCUGUCCUGUACUCACAUUUGAUUUUAUUAGAGACAAUGUUACUUUGAAGCCCCCUGCUUUAAAGAUGAAAUAAUGGACCAAAGAGCUUGCUUUUGGCUUCUAAAUCAAACCAAUUGUUGAUACUUUAUUACAAACAUCUGCUUGAGUACUAAAAAGAAUGCAGAAGAAAGAGAUUAUUUUACCACACAGAAAAAAAAAGAAACUCUCCUAAUUAGAAAGACCAUCAUGAUGGUGAUUAACCCUUGAAACGUUCCCAAAAGGUGGCCAAGAAGAUCAAUAGGUGAGAGAUGAGAAGAAGAAUGGAGAUGACUAUCAAGAAGACACCUAGCUGCCACCAUUUCCUCCUUACAGAUCUUACGAAUCCUAACUUGCAAGACCUACAAUCAUAACACAACACGCUCCAAUCAUUCCUCCACAGCUGACAGUCACUUAGUCUUCCGACCAUGCCCCCGUACAGCACCUCCGUCUUCAAUGGUUGUCCCUCGUCUUUUCUUCUAUACCAAAACGUCGUGUUUAAAGCGUCCAUGUUGCAUGUCUCUGGAGGCAUGCAGCAUCCAUUCUACAAGAACAACAAAUAUCAAAACAACUUGUGUAAUUAACCUACUAGUUUAAAGAUCCUAUGGUACAUGAUCCUCUCAAACUAUUUGAAAAUCUUGUAAACAUGAUAAUAUGAUAUAUACAUUAUUCAUUUGAUAAUUGUGGAUUCUAAUAUUUUGGAGAUACAAUUUAAUAAGAAUUUUUAACGAUAUAUUUAUGUAUAUUAACUAUAAAACUUUUAUGGAUUAUACGUAAAUGUUUCAAUUACCUAUGUCAUCAUGCAUGUUAGAAUGCACCGGAUGCACAUGGUAAAAGAUGGUUAUGAUCUCAAACUGUAAAAAUAUCUACAAUGAACAAACCUUUAUUGGUGGCAAUUUUCUUCUAUUAUAAGGUUUAUCUUUUGGAGAUCCAUAAACAAGCUCGUUGCAUGCACCUUUAUCGUAGACACACGAUUUGAUAUUGUUCCAGUUUACAUUAUCCAUCACUUUGAGUUUAAACCACGUCCCAGUCGCCGGAAACCGCCUGGUCUGCAUCUCGUUGACUCCGGCGUACGCCAGACCGAUGAAUAGCAUUAGCAAAAGGAUCACAAACAUCACAACGAGUGCUGGCAUCGGAAACUUCCGUCGGAGAAACAGAGCUACAUUGCUGACGACGAAGACGGCGAGGAGACCGACGCUCGCGAUUGUCUGGAUACGUGGCAGACCGAGGAUAUCUUCGCAGUCGUAGCUACGCAUGUAGAGGAGCCACACAGCGUAGCCGAGGAGUGUAAGAGAUAGAAAGAAGGUGCAGAUGGGAAGUACCCCGAUGGCGAAAAGGUUCAUGAUUGUGACCAAUGUUCCAGCGGGUGACUUAUCGCUUUGUGACUCCAUUUGGUCGGAGCUUUUUGCUUCUGGCUCACUCGUUGUUGUUAUUGCGGUUGCCGUGGCGGUGGCGGUUGCAG